AAUCCACCCACCCUAAACUGUUUGGGAUUCAAUAACAAGUCUCUCCAGAUUGCUUUAAACUCAGGUACACAUGAACCAAAUCUUGCAAAAGCCUGAUUAAGUUCCUCCCUAUCUUCAAACACAACGAAAAUCUCUCCCUCAAAAUUCAACCUCCAUUCUUUUCAAUGCGUAUAUCAUAGUACUCUAUAAUGAUCAGCUAAUAAACGAAGAAACAUGCAUAAAGCUAUAGUCAAAACCAAUGGUUCUUCCUCUAAUAAGCAACCCCAAUAUGCUAUCCAAACACAAGCAUAAACUUCCCUCCUUAAAAGCGCGACGAACAUUUCAUCAAAUCCUAUAGCCAAUACAUUCAUCAUCUCUUUAGUAGCUGAAUUUUUGCAUACAAUUCAUCAACAAUCUUAACAAGCAUACACGUAAAAUAACUACAACCAUCAGUGAUAGAUAUUGACUAUGAACUUUUGCCAAAUGGGGUUUGGUUAGAAUCCCAGAAAUUAUACCUUUAUUCAAGUUCGAGUAUUCUUCUUGCGUGUAUGCAGACGUUACCCCUUUGUUUUAGAGUGGUAAGUUUUACAUAGUGUGGUUAUAAGAGUUAGUUAAUUAAAAUGAUUUUUGAACGAGAUAUGUUUGAUAGUAGAAAAUUACAAAGUGUAUACUAUAUAGUAAUGACUUUGGGGCUAUAAUUUUACGUGCAGUAUUUUCCUUGCUACGUAAGUAGUUAAGAAUCUUCAACAUUAAUCUGGUUUCUAGAUUGAUCAUGUCAAUUAAUUAGAUUGAGACUCGUGAUCCAACUAAUCCAGAUUUGCGAUACAUAAGGACUAUUUUCUUGAUUGACUACACAUUUGGGUUAAUGUAGACCACAAUUCAUGACCUGACUAAUUCAGUUUCAUGUUACAUAAGGAUCAUUAAGAAGAAAGUUUUUCUCAUAGAUAGAAAUCCCAUUUAUUUCUAAAACUCAAACAUAUACCUUUUGGGUAACGAUAAAAGUAUCACAUCCAUACCACCACACUCCUAAGCGGUAUUCAUGACUAGUGGCGCAGAGCCACCUUACGCUAAGGGGUGUUAAUUGACUUUCCUUCAAAUAUUACAUGACUAGGUAUAUCGAAUUUCUAACAUUACAUGGUAAAUUCACUUUAUAUUUUCUAUAACAAUGAUAUCACUCCGUGUUUUACCCUAUUUGCUUAACUUUUCAAAAAAUGUCAUCGAGCGUGUGUCUGAUCCUUCAAAAAAAAUGCAUUUUUGGAGGAUUCAACACAGGUACAACAAUAUUUUUAAAGAGUUCGAGCAACUUAGGUAUUACCUAUUAUCUCACAAAACUACUAAUGUGAUAUCAUGAAAGGAAACUUGGAUGGUAUACAUUCCCUUUAACUUGAGUUGAGAGGCGACAAAUUGGCGAGUUGGGCUGAAUUUAGACAAAUUGAAGUUACUUGAGCUAAAAAGCCGGUCAAAAUCCAUAUAUAAAAUAAAUAAAAAAGAAACUUCUUGAAAACGCUUUGUUUUCCAACAAGUGUUUGGUUCCCAUAUCAAAACUCAUUCUAAUCCUGAUGAAUUCAAAUUCACAUUGUGAAGGCCCAUUAAAAGAGAAGUGCGGUUUUUCCAUUCUUAGGACCCAAGAGUGUAAAAUAAAACUCCUUCAAUUUGCAACAUGAGAUUCAGGAAUUUGUUGGAAGAAUACUUGAAUGUUUACUUACCAUAAUUAAUUACAUGACAUGGAAAAGAAAAGAAUUAGACGGGGCCAAAAAAUUACCAUAUUCUGAAAACUAAUACUAAAUAUAUUUUAACAUAAAGUAUCUAUAAUAUUCAUGACUCGUACAUAAGUUUUGAAAUCAACAAGUUAAAACUAUAAACCCUUCCUCUCGUCUUCAAAGCCCUUGGCUAGUUCCAAAUCCAUGUCAAACAUAGUUCUUCCUUGUGUAAUAUUCGCGAUUGUUUUAGCCAUUAUUCUAGUACUAGUAUUUUUGUUCAUAAAGUUCACAUGUGCACGUUUUCAAGAAAGAGAAGCUCGUUAUGUAGCAGCAUCAAGAGCUCGUGAAGACAGAGCUUGUGAAAUAUUAGCAGCUCGUUUUUAUGCAGAAGCUCGUUACUGGGCAACAAGAGCAGUGACUCCGCCAGGAACAAACAGUGAGUGUUGCAUCUGUUUAGGAGAAUUCGAAAAACAAGACAAUGGUGAUGCUGAUGAUGAUACGAUAACUCUUCCUACUUGCUAUCAUAGGUUUCACACGACUUGUAUUAUGUCAUGGUUAUUACUAGCAAAGAAAAACGCAUGCCCCUUCUGUCGUACUUGUAUCAGUACCACUUUCAUCAGAUGCAUAUACUGGCACUUUCGACAUCUAAUCAAGCCAUCGUCACAGCUUACAGUUACUUAAAUUUGAUUGUAUCGUUACUUUAUUGUACUUCACUAUUUAAGAGUUUCUAUUUUCAAUCAUGUCCCUAAAUUCAAGAGUACAGGAACUAUGGCACUAUCUAAACCUAAUAAGGUUGCAUAGGAAUAAAGUUCAAAUCUUUGUUGAAGCACUUACUUCUACUUACUAAUCUUGCAUAAUCGCGGUGAAUCCAGAACCCAUAGAAAGAGAAGUUAUACUGCAUAUUGAAGCUCAAGUGGUUGAACACAGAUGUUAUAGAAUUCACCAUCAAAGAAAAGCCAAUCCUAAAACAACGCAAGCUUUAAAUUUGCUUCGAUAUAACUCUUCUUGCAGGACGUUAAUAGCCAACCAGUCACAACUCAUCUUGAUAAGAUAUCUGAUUUCACCAGAUGGACGAACAGAACAACAUAUAAACCUAACAAUGUCAGUCAAAACUGUUUCUUUUUUUGACAAAGGUAACAGAGUCAAAACUGUUUCUCUUUCAGGUACUCUAAGAAACUUCUUCGCGAACCAAUCUUGGUACCUCAUUUGGCUACCGAACUUCACACGUGUAAGCAAAAACCUCAAUUGGGUUUCCAUUUCAGUAGCUAUACAGAGGUUUCAUAAACUUUGCAAAAUAUCUUCAAAUCCAUCCACCCUAAACUGUUUGGGAUUCAAUAAGAAGUCUCUCCAGAUUGCUUUAAACUCAGGUACACAUGAACCAAAUCUUGCAAAAGCCUGAUUAAGUUGCUCCCUAUCUUCAAACACAACGAGAAUCACUCCCUCGAAAUUCAACAUCCAUUCUUUUCAAUGCAUAUAUCAUAGGAUUACUUGGUACUCUAUAAUGAUCAGCUAAUAAAUGAAGAAACACGUAUAAAGCUUUAGUCAAAACCAAUGGUUCUUCCUCUAAUAAGCAAUCCCAAUAUGCUCUCCAAACACAAGCAUAAAUUUCCC
Molecule: long non-coding RNA, 3290 nt
Filed under: Solanum tuberosum (potato)
Lineage: Eukaryota; Viridiplantae; Streptophyta; Magnoliopsida; Solanales; Solanaceae
Description: long non-coding RNA (STUB_LNC011114)
Source: RNAcentral